AGAAGGGAAAUGAAGAAGAGUACUGUCAUUUAUUAAUACGUUGCCGUUUAAGUCUUGUUGCUUUGUACUAAAAGAUACAGCCCAAUACUAGGGUUCAUCAUCCAAAGAAAUACAAUUUCAGAUCUAAUCCUCCCUUCUCUCUCUGUUUCCUCUUUUCUCUUCCCCAAACUCUCGAUAAUUUUCUUGGUUCGUGUUUAAGGAUGAUUGCGCUCCAAUUUGUUGAUCCCCUUGGGUCGUUAAGAGCUUAUCUCACUUGAUUCUUGUUCCCAGAUCUGGCCUCUUAAGGACGGAGACCGGUUUUCUCUGUGGUUUAUGCUCAAUUCGUCCUGCGGAGUUGCAAUCUUGCUGGUUCAAGUCAAGGAUGCUCUAGGACGGCUCCUCUUUCUCGAUCUCGAGCUUGUUCGUCACUCCCUGAAGUUCUCCUGUCAAUCCUCUGGUUAGCGACCUCUUCCAUUUUGGUAAGGCUAGGGAUUGGACAUCUUUUUCCAGCGCAGCCUAAGAGAUGUUUUAAAAAGGUCCCAACACUUACAGUUGAGUUUAAGGUAUUGAUAUAGUGAGAGAACUAGUUGUCUUUCUACAGGGAGAGUAUCUUGACCAGACCUAUGAUAGCAUAUCAGUAUUUUCUUCCGGUGAGAUAACCAUGAGGCAGUUUUUGGAGCAGAAGAAAGCAUGAAAGAGUAAGGCAAGGAAGAAGAAUUUUUUUGAUAAACCCUAUAAGACAAGGAAGAAGAAUUGAAAUCAAAAGAGUUAAUUAAGCCAAGUUCUUUCUUAAUGAUUGUUAUCUACUUUGUUUUAAUUAUGUUUUUUGGAGGAUGAUGUAAUUUUAUAUUUAAUAAUGUUUUAAUUUUAUUUUGUAAUA
This is a long non-coding RNA of Arabidopsis lyrata subsp. lyrata, 859 nucleotides long. RefSeq lists it as uncharacterized. NCBI's taxonomy places the organism in Eukaryota, Viridiplantae, Streptophyta, Magnoliopsida, Brassicales, Brassicaceae. The transcript has 4 exons. The record is from RefSeq and is a predicted model, not a curated record.